This 1012-nucleotide long non-coding RNA is filed under the name Oncorhynchus kisutch (coho salmon). Its description in RNAcentral is "lncRNA (ENSOKIG00005020551.1)". Lineage: Eukaryota; Metazoa; Chordata; Actinopteri; Salmoniformes; Salmonidae. The record is from RNAcentral.
GUCGAACACAACUUUUUCCAGAAGUUUAUUAAGGGUUGGUAACAGGCUGAUUGGUCAGCUAUUUGAGCCAGUAAAGGGGGCUUUACUAUUCUUAGGUAGCGGAAUGAAUUUAGCUUCCCUCCGGGCCUGAGGGCACAUGCUCUCUAGUAGGCUUAAAUUGAAUAUGUGGCAAAUAGGAGUAGCAAAAUCAUCUGCAAUUAUCCUCAGUAAUUUUCCAAAAAAUAUCUAUUUUAAUUCCAGGUUGUAAGGCAACAAAAUAGGAAAAAUGUGAAGGGAGGUGAAUACUUUCGCAAGCCACUGUACUUAGGCCAAUUCUGGGCAGUCAUUCAUUUUGAUUCCGGGUCGAGUCCGACACCCGCUUCUGGGCCGAUUCCUCAUUGCUAGCUGGGAUGAAAACAGCCUAACCAGUGCUGCUACUGCGAGUGAAUUGGUCAGAGUUUGGGUGGGGGCUGAAGCUUAAGAUGAUUAUUAUGGCAUUAUACACGGUCAUUGUGAACCAGAGUGACUUGACACAGCAAAGAGCCAAGCAACGGAAACGACACAGGACAUCUUAUUUAAAAUUCACCCAUGUAUACUGGUAAGAGUCUAGCUACAGUUUCAGAUAUUAUACUUUUCUUUCGACAGAAAGUUGUUUUCAUUGCAAGUUAAAGCAUAUUGUUGACUAGCUAACAUUGAACCUAUUUGGUUAACGUUAGCUAGCUAUGACAAUCGGUUUUUAUUGCUAAUACUCAAUGGACUGGGAUUAUGGUUUAGGAAUCGAUGGCAACACGUUUUGAUUAUUUCAUUGACCUCCAACAUGAUUGGCACUACUUUUAUUGAUCUCACAUUACUUCUGUAUUUUCCAGAGGUAUGUGUAGUGUGUUAUCUUUUUAACUUUUUUUAUUUUGAACUUUCCAAGAUUAUGUUUCUGUAUGCAGUGCUGCUGCUCUGCACAUUUGUAGGUGCACUAUCCUUCUGACCCCAUGCAGCCAGGUCCCAUCUACUUUUUAACUCCUCGUAAGUGUGGCUUGUU